UAUUCGAAGCUUGCUGCUUUCAAGAAAAGUUUGGAUGAUUUCGCCAUCCCAGGUUAUAUGUAUUUGAAAAUGGGUCAUUACCCGGUCUAGGCUGUGUUUGAGCAGCAUUGAUGUGUUCUUGCACGAGUUCAGAGAAUUGGGGUGUUAAGGGCACUCAUGAAUAGGGUGGGAUGGGCUAGAACAGAUAGUACACACUUGUGCUUGGGAAGAGUUCAUGUAAUACCCACCUAUCAUCAGUUGGUCAAUCUUAUGGGACAAUGCAUCUACCUUGCUAGACAGGUCCAUAGAAUGACUUAUUUCACAAAUGGUCCCUUUUCUU
RNAcentral lists this long non-coding RNA (319 nucleotides) under Phoenix dactylifera (date palm). RNAcentral's name for it is "long non-coding RNA (PDAC_LNC012082)". The record is from RNAcentral. Lineage: Eukaryota; Viridiplantae; Streptophyta; Magnoliopsida; Arecales; Arecaceae.